RNAcentral lists this ribosomal RNA (1005 nucleotides) under uncultured organism. RNAcentral's name for it is "bacterial SSU rRNA". It matches the Rfam family "Bacterial small subunit ribosomal RNA", at positions 106 to 1153 of the family's 1533-position model. The record is from RNAcentral.
GUGAGUAAUACAUAUGAACUUUCUCUAAGCAGAGGAUAGCCAGUCGAAAGAUCGGGUAAUACUCUAUGUGGCCGAAAGGUUAAAGUUUAAUACACUUAGAGUGAGGCAUAUGCCCCAUCAGCUAGUUGGUAAGGUAAUGGCUUACCAAGGCGAAGACGGGUAGCUGGACUGAGAGGUUGAUCAGCCACACUGGGACUGCGACACGGCCCAGACAUCUACGGAUGGCAGCAGUAGGGAAUUUUCCGCAAUGGGCGAAAGCCUGACGGAGCCAUGCCGCGUGCAGGACGACGGCCCUAUGGGUUGUAAACUGCUGUGGUAGCCUACCAAAAAAAUGAGGAGGCUAUUAGAAAGAGGUUGCUAACUCUGUGCCAGCAGCAGCGGUAAUACAGAGACCUCGAGCGUUAUCCGGUAUCACUGGGCGUAAAGCGUACCGAUCGGUUGUUUAGUGUGUCUAAAGUGAAAGACCGAAGCCUAACUUCGUGUUUGCUUUGGAAACUACUAAACUUGAAGGGCAAAGAGGUGGUUGGAACUCUGCAAGUAGGGGUGAAAUCCGUUGAUAUGCAGGGGAACACCAAAAGCGAAGGCAGACCACUAGGUGCCUCUUGACACUGCUAGGACGAAAGCGUGGGGAGAGAACGGGAUUAGAUACCCCGGUAUUCCACGCCCUAAACGAUGAGUGCUAGUUUUUGGGGAAAGUUAAUCUUCCUCGGAGACAAAGCUAACGCAUUAAGCACUCCGCCUGUAGAGUACGAGCGCAAGCUUAAAACAUAAAGGAAUUGACGGGAACCCGCACAAGCGGUGGAUCAUGUGGCUUAAUUCGAUAAUAAGCGAGGAACCUCACCUAGGUUUGACAUGCAACUGCACGACUAAUGAAAGUUAGUUUCUUUCGAAGGUGUUGCACAGAUGAUGCACGGUCGUCGUCAGCUCGUGUCGUGAGAUGUUCGGUUAAGUCCGGUAACGAGAGCAACGCCAAUCCUUAGUUAUUUUAUGUUUAAGGAGACUGCC